This 253-nucleotide ribosomal RNA is filed under the name uncultured bacterium. Its description in RNAcentral is "partial 16S ribosomal RNA". It matches the Rfam family "Bacterial small subunit ribosomal RNA", at positions 524 to 776 of the family's 1533-position model. The record is from RNAcentral.
UACGUAGGGGGCAAGCGUUGCCCGGAAUCAUUGGGCGUAAAGCGCGUGUAGGCGGCCCGGUAAGUCCGCUGUGAAAGUCCUGGGCUCAACCUGGGAACUGCGCUUGAUACGGCAGAGCUAGAGGAUGGAAGAGGCUCGCGGAAUUCCCAGUGUAGAGGUGAAAUUCGUAGAUAUUGGGAAGAACACCGGUGGCGAAGGCGGCGAGCUGGUCCAUUACUGACGCUGAGGCGCGACAGCGUGGGGAGCAAACAGG